RNAcentral lists this non-coding RNA (129 nucleotides) under Rhodococcus sp. (in: high G+C Gram-positive bacteria). RNAcentral describes it as "Rhodococcus sp. SAM-IV sequence". It matches the Rfam family "SAM (S-adenosyl methionine) riboswitch aptamer". Rfam says of the family: SAM-IV is a mRNA element that regulates gene expression via direct sensing of S-adenosylmethionine (SAM or AdoMet). SAM-IV riboswitches share conserved nucleotide positions with the previously described SAM-I riboswitches sequence analysis and molecular recognition experiments suggest that SAM-I and SAM-IV riboswitches share similar ligand binding sites, but have different scaffolds. Lineage: Bacteria; Bacillati; Actinomycetota; Actinomycetes; Mycobacteriales; Nocardiaceae. RNAcentral also lists the same sequence under 1 other name. The record is from RNAcentral.
GGUCAUGAGUGCCAGCAUCGAGCCCCGGCUUGCUGGCCGGCAACCCUCCAACCGCGGUGGGGUGCCCCGGGUGAACGACCGGGUUAGUCGGCUACACGAGAACGUGUAGCCGGAGAACAAGCGCGGGUC